CAGAGUAGCUAAAUCGCGUUAAGUGCUAUAUCAUGGGAAGUUGGAUAUAGACGAACACUAUUGUGGCGGUGGUUUAGCGCGUCCGCUGU
RNAcentral lists this non-coding RNA (89 nucleotides) under uncultured Anaeroplasma sp. RNAcentral describes it as "THF riboswitch". It matches the Rfam family "THF (Tetrahydrofolate) riboswitch aptamer". Rfam says of the family: THF riboswitch presents a pseudoknot that joins P1-P2 and the loop of P3 and two THF binding. The record is from RNAcentral. Lineage: Bacteria; Bacillati; Mycoplasmatota; Mollicutes; Anaeroplasmatales; Anaeroplasmataceae.